Molecule: long non-coding RNA, 1347 nt
Organism: Seriola dumerili (greater amberjack)
Lineage: Eukaryota; Metazoa; Chordata; Actinopteri; Carangiformes; Carangidae
Exons: 3
Source: RefSeq, a predicted model, not a curated record
CAAGACAAGAGAUUUAAAAAGGAGGAAUGUCUUUGGACGUUGAGCACAGACUUUAACAUCAGCUGGUAUCGAUCAUCUCCAGAUUAACACGGCAACAGAGAAAGACAAAAUGAACAUCGUUCUCCUGACUGCCAUCACCUUCACUUUAGCCCCUGUUUGUGGGGGGCAAAUCGUGUUUGAUGGCAACAGCAUGGACUGGUCAGACUUGGCAUCACCCCUCUUACAACCCUGUCAAGGAAGGGGCUCCAUGGCUAAGUAUACGGCAUUUGUCAACAGACACAUCCUUCAAGCCUCCUUUGACAGAAAUUCUAUACAGCAAUGGAGAAGUUAUUUACAAGGAAAGAGACUCUGUGGCAGAGCUCCGGUGCAGACCUUCAUCGAUGCCAGAGUGGGAGCUGUCCAUCAGAUCUGCAGCAGGUCAGGCCUGCGCGUGCAGAGUUCCCCAGGUAACUUGUGCAUCAGCAGGUCACGCAUGCAGGUGUUUGAUGUCAUAUCUGACCAAAAUUGCAGUAUGAAUAGGAUGCGUGUACAAAAAGGCAGCCAGAAAGUGAUUGUGGCAUGUGAUAAGGUUAAUAAUCGUUGCCUCCCUGUCCAUUUUGAGAAAAACAGAGGCCAAAGCCCGACCAAUACACCCUGUACUUGAGUUGACUCAGUUCCAUUUGUCAGGUUUAUUAUUCCUUGACAUCUAAAUAUUUCUAUCAAGCUUUGCCAAAUGAUUUUUGCUCAUAAAAAUAUAAAGAAAUAUUGGCAUGUGAUUUUUUAAAAGCAACACAUUCUUUCUGCCCCCAUGACAUUUAAUGAAACGAGCAUUUUGUCAGGAUGAGUAUGUGCUGUGCAUAACAGAAAAGUUUUUAUUAAAUAAAUGAUUUAAAUUGUUAUUCAAUCUUCCUAUUAAGCAUGUUUUCUGCUGUGACAGAAGUGCAUUUUAUGCUAAAGCUCAUUUACAAUUAUUUCGAAUUAUUUUCGAUUAAAAUUCACUUGACUACUUGAAAUUAAUUUUCCUUUAAUUUGUAUCAGUUAACUCCUUUUGCAUAGAUUGGUUUUGUCAAACUGUGUUGUAAUCCAUUUUUUUUUUUUUUUUUUUUAUAAAAUUGCUUUGUAUACAGUCAAAUGCCUUCUGUCAAAAGGAUUCUCAUGUAAGAUUACUAUCAUGUCUUUCUUUUGGCAAAAAAUGUUUGAAACUGUGAAAUCUGAUUAUUUUAUUCUUUGACACAUAAUUAAUGAUAGCUUGUUGCUGAUGCUUUAUUUACACUUUCAUUUACUUGUUUUCUGAGUUCAUUUGUUCAUGUGAAGAACUGAUAUUUUCUUCUGUGUUCUGUAGAACUCACAAUAAAUACUGCAAAUUGA